This is a transfer RNA of Ovis aries (sheep), 72 nucleotides long. It matches the Rfam family "tRNA". From Rfam's summary of the family: Transfer RNA (tRNA) molecules are approximately 80 nucleotides in length. Their secondary structure includes four short double-helical elements and three loops (D, anti-codon, and T loops). Further hydrogen bonds mediate the characteristic L-shaped molecular structure. tRNAs have two regions of fundamental functional importance: the anti-codon, which is responsible for specific mRNA codon recognition, and the 3' end, to which the tRNAs corresponding amino acid is attached (by aminoacyl-tRNA synthetases). tRNAs cope with the degeneracy of the genetic code in two manners: having more than one tRNA (with a specific anti-codon) for a particular amino acid; and 'wobble' base-pairing, i.e. permitting non-standard base-pairing at the 3rd anti-codon position. NCBI's taxonomy places the organism in Eukaryota, Metazoa, Chordata, Mammalia, Artiodactyla, Bovidae. The record is from Rfam.
CCCCUGGUAGCUCAGAGGUUAAAGCAUCUGCCUCUGAUGCGGGAGACCCAGGUUUGAUCCCUGGAUCGGGAA